GAGCCGUCUGCGGUGGCUGCUCCUACCUCCGUCCCCACCUUAGUCACCUGUCCCCGGCGCCACAGGGGGACCCCGGAGCGGACGGAGAAAAAUGGGGGGGCGGGACAGAACCCAGGAGAGAAAGCUACGGCGAGGUAAAGCCGCGGCCGAGGCAGGGAGGGGAGUGGUGUUGAAGAGCAGCCCGGGACGGAACAAACAGAAGGCAGAGUGUAAACAAUGCACAAAAACUUUACAUUUCCCGACGUGGAAAGAACGAGGCCGGGACAUUCCAAGCGGCUGGGUGGCCGGGAGCCCGCGGGAACCGCAAGUUUACGGAGCGGCGACGGAGGCGCAGUGCGCAGCGCAACCCGCGGCAACCUCGCGCCCCGACUCAGAGGGGGAAAAAAAACCUCCUCCCGGAGAGCCGUAAACCGAUGGAAGGGGAACAAAGCCGGGGCGGGUAAGGGGCCGGGUCCCCGAGGCCCGAAGAUUGCGGAGCCCCCGCGCACUCCGCGAAGGCUCCGGGCACGCUCGCCUACCAAAGGUUCGAACUCCGCUGCGAUGGGCGAAACGGAGCCGCCCCGCACCCGGUCCCGCGGGAAAAGGGACCCCGGCGCCCCGCCCUGCGCUAACCUUAGCCCCCCCGUCUUCCCUUCCCCCACCUCAUAUCCAUCCCCGCUAACCAUUCCCAAACCCGGCCUGGGCACUCCACACUGAGCUCCCGCGGGACCGGGCGAGAAAAACUCCGGUCUAAUUCCAUCAGCUGGGACUCGGGGGCCGCCUGCUGAGGCUCUGCCCCAAGGCCCCUUCCUCGGCCCGCGCUCCGUACCCCAGCCCCGGCGAGUCCGCUCCCUCCGUCCCGGCGCUCCCCCUGGGACCUUGUGCACAAGGAGGAGGCUCUAAGACCCGGGCACCGCGAGUUCAGAACAUGCCCGCUGCCCCUGCCCGCAAGAGGCAAAAACUCCAUUGGCUCCUAGUCCCGGGGAGAGAAGCGGCCCUCGUGCGCCCUGCCAGACCAGAGCUCCUUGCCUCCCUUUCCACCCACCCUCGCAUCACGCCACAUAGUCUUUCAUUCGUCUCCCGAGUCCGGGAUUUAGCCGUUGCCACAAACGCGAAAUCGACUCCAAUACAUAAAUGAAAAAGUUGGGGGUUUUCUUUUCUACUCCCUUUUCUCUCCCGCCCGUUCAGUCCCCACCACGCCCUCCUCUUCCCCACCCCUGCUCCUUCUCCCCCCAAAAGAAAAGAUCCCAUCGCCCCUCCCCGGGAUGGUCGCCGUUUCCUUCCCAUUAAUAACUCGGGAGUGUUGGAAUCCGCGGCGUCGGGACUGUUUCCCAUAAAUAUUCUUGGAGUCGACUCUCUCCCCUUCGUUUGACGUGGCUGCUCCACACUACAGUCCCCCUGGCCGGAGUUUCUGCCCGGUUCCGUCCGGAGUUAACCCCCGGCUCCUGCCUCACCUGAAAGGCUCCCGCCGAGAAACGGAGUAGCCAAAGGAGCCUGGGGUCGUGGGGAGGAAAAGGGAGGGACAGUGUGGAGCGAUGCUAUUAUUUCUGGGGGGCGAAUCUGGCCGCCUUCAGCAGCCCUGAGUUGCAGGUCUCGCUGGGGUAAAAGGGAAGAGAAAAAAGCGCCCUCACCUCCCCCAGCCGCGCCUAUAAGUUCCCUUCCAGGAAGCUGGCAGGUUUACCGGGGACUCGGCAACUUUUCCCCAUUCCCCACUGCAGAACCCCCAGAUGGAAAGGGUCCUUCCCCCGUAUCCGCGGCCUGGAUUCUACAGGUGUCCUCGGAGGGCCUUCUCUCCCCCCCGCAACCUCCCAAUUCUUCCCUCCGUCCCCCCUCCCUAUACUCUGUCCUUCCUUGGGCCCAGGACCAGGCGUGGUCGGGCCUUGGGUGUGCCGGUCCCCGGGCGGCAGCGCUGACGUGUGGCUGGGCGGGCACCCUGCCCUGCGGGGUUGG
RNA transcript from Ornithorhynchus anatinus (platypus), 1929 nucleotides. It is a transcript of the gene named oleosin-B6-like, with no coding region annotated. The record is from RefSeq and is a predicted model, not a curated record. The transcript is spliced from 5 exons. NCBI's taxonomy places the organism in Eukaryota, Metazoa, Chordata, Mammalia, Monotremata, Ornithorhynchidae.